UGGGGAAUAUUGCACAAUGGGCGCAAGCCUGAUGCAGCAACGCCGCGUGAGGGAUGACGGCCUUCGGGUUGUAAACCUCUUUUAGCAGGGAAGAAGCGUAAGUGACGGUACCUGCAGAAAAAGCACCGGCUAACUACGUGCCAGCAGCCGCGGUAAUACGUAGGGUGCAAGCGUUGUCCGGAAUGAUUGGGCGUAAAGAGCUCGUAGGCGGCUUGUCGCGUCUGCUGUGAAAACCCGGAGCUCAACGCCGGGCCUGCAGUGGGUACGGGCAGGCUAGAGUGCGGUAGGGGAGAGUGGAAUUCCUGGUGUAGCGGUGGAAUGCGCAGAUAUCAGGAGGAACACCGAUGGCGAAGGCAGAUCUCUGGGCCGCUACUGACGCUGAGGAGCGAAAGCAUGGGGAGCGAACA
This 407-nucleotide ribosomal RNA is filed under the name uncultured prokaryote. RNAcentral's name for it is "bacterial SSU rRNA". It matches the Rfam family "Bacterial small subunit ribosomal RNA", at positions 355 to 774 of the family's 1533-position model. The record is from RNAcentral.